This 593-nucleotide long non-coding RNA is filed under the name Homo sapiens (human). RNAcentral's name for it is "plaque enriched lncRNA in atherosclerotic and inflammatory bowel macrophage regulation". The record is from RNAcentral. Lineage: Eukaryota; Metazoa; Chordata; Mammalia; Primates; Hominidae.
AAGUGACUAUGAGGGGGAUGGGGCAGUGUGAGAUGACGGGACCAGAGCACGUUCCUGGCUGCAGAGGCCACAAGUCACGCUGUCUCUGAGAGCCACGGUGGCCUCAUCUCUCUGCCAUAAACUUGCCAAUUAUCCUGCUGCUGCCUCAUUGACUUCGCACCCACUCUUCCCUCUGGAACAGAGGACACUCUCGCCAGCUCUCCCCAUGGCGGAUCCUUGUCUAGGUGGAAUGUCACCAUCGCCCAGGUGGGGAUUUUUGUGUGUUUUGUUCACUGCUGUACACCCAGCCCCCAGCACAGCGCCUGUCCAGGACAAGUGCCCAGUAAACACUUGGGAAGCAAUGCAAGCGUCCUCCCAGCAGCUCCUGCAAACAGACCCCCGACCCAAGCCCUUCCUUCUGCCUCCACUGCCACCACUGCUGCUCAUCUCUGCUGGCACAGAAGUCUCUUCCCUGGUCUUCCAGAAAUCCCCUCUCCACACUCAGCCAGAGGGAGCUAUUAAAACUGUGGGCCAGCCCACAUCAGUCCACAGCAAAGUCCUCUCUAAGGGAUCUCUGUUGCUUGGAGAAUAAACCCUCGGAUUCCUUCCUUGGC